RNAcentral lists this small RNA (1218 nucleotides) under Drosophila virilis. Its description in RNAcentral is "GJ26841". Lineage: Eukaryota; Metazoa; Arthropoda; Insecta; Diptera; Drosophilidae. The record is from RNAcentral.
UUUAAUUUUACUUUUUAUUUAAUUUUUGAAAUUGUGAUUUUGCUUCUACUUUGGGCGCGUUUAUUAUCGCUCGCUUAGCAUUUGGCGCGUUUCUGGCCGCGAUUCGAACAGCAGCUGCGCCUCAAUCAGCUGUUAAAGCUCUGUUAAUGUUAAGACGCUUGGCGGCUUUUGUAAAACGAAACUGUUAUUAACAUUGCGUUGUAUUGUUUACAUAACAGAGCUGUCCUGUUGUUGUUGUUGUUGUUGCUGUUGUUGGUGUUGAUGUGUUUGCUGUUGUUGUUUUCGCUAGACCACCAGCGUCAACUUUUGGCAUGUUUAUAAGGAGCUGUGUGUGUGUGUGUGUACGUAUGUGUGCAUGGGCUUACCCAUAAAAGUUUUAAUUAAAAAUAAAAGUGUUGCAGCUCUUGUUUAUACGACUCGAAUUCCCUACAAAGCUGCUCGAACGGUAGCCUGUGCAAAUAUUUUCGCUACACUUGGCCGCAUGUGUCGCCUCUUAUUAUUAUUAUUGUUUUUUUUUUUUUUUUUUAUUUUUAUUUUGGCUUAUUGUAGCAUAAACAAAGCAAUGAGCCAGGCAAAACUGCGAACUGGACAAAUUUCUGUUGCGUCUUGUCGCCAGUUAAAGUCCCUGCGGCACAAAGAUCGGAAGUUCUUCUGGCAGAAGCGUGGCAGCUACCAGCGGCAGGAAAUGCAGAUGGACAUGGAUACGGAAAGAAAGCUUAAGAGAUCUUAAACGAGGUCAACACGAACACAAACACAAACACAAAUACACAUGCAACAAUUGGCCAAGAUAUUAGAAGACAGACACACACACACGCGCACGCAGGAGCACGAACCAAAAUACGCUCAACUUGUCAGACGAUACAACAACCGAAACGGGGCACGCGCGUUUGCAUAAUGACUUGAGUCGGGUUUAGUUUUAUGCCAAUUGCAGUUGACGCUUUUCGCGCUGCCAACGUCGCUGCUUCCCGAUGUUGUUGUUGCUGUCGCAGCUCUGGCCAGCAAAAUAGUCUGGGCAAAAAAUCUCAAGAUGCGCUGUCAGUUGGCAGCGCAUGCAUUCAAAUAUCAGCAGACACACUUACAUACAAUUACUUCAUAUAUUGUACAUAAUCGUGCUAAAACAACAACACCAGAAGAAGAAGAACGGCUACAAUAUUUGACAGCAAACAAAACAGAAAACACUUUCAAAUAAUAAACACAUAUUUAGCUCACAUCAGAUCA